This 505-nucleotide ribosomal RNA is filed under the name uncultured bacterium. RNAcentral describes it as "partial 16S ribosomal RNA". It matches the Rfam family "Bacterial small subunit ribosomal RNA", at positions 28 to 507 of the family's 1533-position model. The record is from RNAcentral.
GACGAACGCUGGCGGCGUGCCUAAUACAUGCAAGUGGGACGCAAGGAAACACACUGUGCUUGCACACCGUGUUUUCUUGAGUCGCGAACGGGUGAGUAACGCGUAGGUAACCUGCCUAUUAGCGGGGGAUAACUAUUGGAAACGAUAGCUAAUACCGCAUAAUAUUAAUUAUUGCAUGAUAAUUGAUUGAAAGAUGCAAGCGCAUCACUAGUAGAUGGACCUGCGUUGUAUUAGCUAGUUGGUAAGGUAAGAGCUUACCAAGGCGACGAUACAUAGCCGACCUGAGAGGGUGAUCGGCCACACUGGGACUGAGACACGGCCCAGACUCCUACGGGAGGCAGCAGUAGGGAAUCUUCGGCAAUGGACGAAAGGCUGACCGAGCAACGCCGCGGGAGUGAAGAAGGUUUUCGGAUCGUAAAGCUCUGUUGUAAGUCAAGAACGUGGGUGAGAGUGGAAAGUUCACAAAGUGACGGUAGCUUAACAGAAAGGGACGGCUAACUACGUG